RNAcentral lists this ribosomal RNA (468 nucleotides) under uncultured bacterium. RNAcentral's name for it is "partial 16S ribosomal RNA". It matches the Rfam family "Bacterial small subunit ribosomal RNA", at positions 28 to 507 of the family's 1533-position model. The record is from RNAcentral.
GACGAACGCUGGCGGCGUGCUUAACACAUGCAAGUCGAACGGAAAGGCCCUGCUUUUGUGGGGUGCUCGAGUGGCGAACGGGUGAGUAACACGUGAGUAACCUGCCCUUGACUUUGGGAUAACUUCAGGAAACUGGGGCUAAUGCCGGAUAGGAGCUCCUGCUGCAUGGUGGGGGUUGGAAAGUUUCGGCGGUUGGGGAUGGACUCGCGGCUUAUCAGCUUGUUGGUGGGGUAGUGGCUUACCAAGGCUUUGACGGGUAGCCGGCCUGAGAGGGUGACCGGCCACAUUGGGACUGAGAUACGGCCCAGACUCCUACGGUAGGCAGCAGUGGGGAAUAUUACACAAUGGGCGGAAGCAUGAUGCAGCAACGUCGCGUGCGGGAUAACGGCCUUCGGGUUGUAAACCGCUUUCGCCUGUGACGAAGCGUGAGUGACGGUAAUGGGUAAAGAAGCACCGGCUAACUACGUG